CACACCCACACGCAGAAAGCGAGUGGAGUUUGUGAAGACCUGAGAACAGCAUUUCUCAGCUCACUGCGUUUAAGACGUUUCAGUUGUUUCUAGGCUGGUUGUGUUCACGCCGUUAAAAACAAGGCUCAAACGGUGCAGCCACUUGGACUCUGAAACCAGGUUUUGUUUUCCCCUUGGAGGAGAAUGGGAGGUGCUUGGCCUUAGUUUUCUUCCUUUCCCCAAAGCACAGAUCUGUGAAACAGCUCUUGGUUUUCCGUUGGGAGGGGAAAUCAAGGUCUUGUCUGCUCUUUAAGGCUGCAGCAGGAGGGAUUUUCCGUACACCCAGGCCUAAGACUCUGAAUUAGCUCUGGGACCUGAUUGUAAUUGACACCAAAACCUGACAGAAAUUCGAGCGCUAUGCAGCUAGAGCGAAAGCACAGCUUAGCGUGCGCCUGUUGGUACUUGCGCCUGUUCCCUGGUAGGAAGAGGAGAACCGUGUCUGCAGGAGAGGUGGGACUGGGUUAGUAUCUGUAACUGACACAGCUAGAGCGAAAGCACAGCUUAGCGUGCGCCUGUUGGUACUUGCGCCUGUUCCCUGGUAGGAAGAGGAGAACCGUGUCUGCAGGAGGGGUGGGACUGGGCUUGUAUCUGUAACUGACACAGCUAGAGUGGUAUACAAUCAGGUGUGGAGGAUGCUUUUGGCUUUGACCCUGCUAAUUUCUGAGUGCUCUGGCCCUGAUCCAGCAAAGCACAGGUUGAAGUGUGUGAGUAAUCAGGGACAGGGACAGUUAAUUGGGAAGACAAACCCUUAGUGACACUGGGAAUCUAGCUUUGACUCAGGAAGGUUUUAAACAGCAGCAGGCAAGGGUGUCACAGAUCAGGCCCGACAGCAGAAAUGACUGCACUUAGAGUGGGAAAACGCCUGUGUCUGUAUGGCCCAGUCCCUUGUGUCUGUUUCCUAGGGCAAAUGACAGUCCUUGGAAGACUGCAGUCCCGCCAGACGUAUCCUCCCUGUCAUGAAGUGUCUGAGCAGCACGCUAGGCGUAGACGCUGUCUCUGAUAACAAACCAAACCGCGCCCCCACCCCCCAAAAGAGUCAGUGGCAGCGCUUGGUCUGUAUUUAAUGGUUCCUAUCUUCGUUUGCUGUAACGUAACGAGGAGCUCGCCAGGUCCCACGGGGCAUUUUUAGUUUCUGUCCAGCAUGAAGGAUUUGAAGGUGAUAAACAAAUGUGAAUUUUUUUUUUAAAAGAGACUUUUUUAAUUUUCCUGCUGUGACUCUUUCAGGUGGAAGUCCACCAGGGUCGUCCUCCACUGUAACGAAUGUAUCGUUUUAAUACAGGCUGGUUUGGGAGACAGUCUGCUGAACCUGGCACUUUUUACGUUUGCUCUUGGGUUUAUCUACCUCAUUAUUUUUUUAGUGCUGUUUUAAUCCAGCCUCCAAUUUCCCGCUGUUGCUUUAUUUCCACCCUUUGUGUUAUGGAUUCAAAGUGACAGUUGAUCUUCCGUUUUCUGAGUUAAUUAUUUGUGUAUUCGCUCUCUUGAGUGGCUGAUCCUCCCCUUGAAUUCAGCUGGAUGAACGAAACUAUGAUUUAGACCAGUGGUCUCCAACCUUUUCGUCCAGCAAGCGCCAGAUGAAGGACCAUGGUGGUGGUGGAGCACCUGCUGAAAUCUCGCCGAAGUUCUGCGGCAUUUCUGCGGCAUUUCAGCAGAUGCUUGACCAUUGGCCAGGACGUGGGCACUUUUAGAUGCCCCCGCGGGUGCCAUGGCACCUGCGGGCACCGCAUUGGGGACCCCUGAUUUAGACAGUGCACAGUUGACUUGGGAUCUUUGGUGAAGCAUGUGAAAGCUGGAGCACCGAUCUGCCUUUCAGUAGCAACAAUUUUGAAAGCUUGUUUUGUCGACAGAAGCAUCCCUCAUGAAUUAUUUGUGUCCCCAAUUAAGCCAUCACAAUAAGCCAAGCCGCUGGCAUUGUUCUGCGGGGCGUGAUUCUUAACAUCCCUUUAAGGUGUUUUAUUUAAAAGUCGUUAAAAUGAUGCAUUCUGGGCUGUUUUGUUUCUGAAACCCAGCAGUCUGUGUCUGUCCUUCAUUUUACACGGUCUUACUCUGUAAAGGUGAAAUGUUUGGUGAAAACUGUUAACCUGAAAUACAUUUGGAUUUUCGUUUUUUAA
Molecule: long non-coding RNA, 2147 nt
Organism: Gopherus flavomarginatus (Mexican gopher tortoise)
Lineage: Eukaryota; Metazoa; Chordata; Testudines; Testudinidae
Exons: 2
Source: RefSeq, a predicted model, not a curated record